UGAUAUAGAUAUUUCCCGUGCUGCCCC
This 27-nucleotide non-coding RNA is filed under the name Mus musculus (house mouse). Lineage: Eukaryota; Metazoa; Chordata; Mammalia; Rodentia; Muridae. The record is from RNAcentral.